AGUUUCUACUCUAGACAGAUGGGAUGAGACCACGCCUGGCAUCAUGCUUGCAAUUUCUAGGUCCCUUGAGACAAGAGAUGAGGAGAGAUGAACUCAAAGGAAAGAAGCAAAAAUGACUGUGAGACUGAAGUCCCCUUCAUUCCCUGCCCAGGCAGAACCCUCUGCUACCUUAGUCCUGCCACAUCAGACCUAGACAUUUCUGCUGCCAGAGCUAUUAUUGUUCGAUUAACCUUGUUGGAUCUGCUUCUAGGAAAAACCCUAACAAAGCACAUACCACCAUCUAAAGAGCAGGCAGCCAGAAAAGAGGGUGGCUUGUUUUACUGGACUCUGCAUAACACUUUGUUUUGGUUGACACUAAGAAUUCUGGACGUGUAAAUGAAUAUGACUGCUCUGCCAGGCCUUGCAUGCAGAAAGUGAGAUUCACAUAGCUGGCUCUGGUUUUGCGUGUCCUUGCAGCCUGGUCUGUGCUGUGCACAUAUGCAGCACUGGGUUGCAGCCCUCUCCUCACUUCCCCCAGAUGUAAACUGGCUGUGUCUGGCAUAUGGGAUCCUGGAGCAGCAGAGGGUCUCUGCUAUUCUGCGGAUGGAGGUGGGCCAUCUGGACGGGCCCUGUUGCUCCCCUGCCCAGGACUGCACCUCCUCCUCUGUCAUGCAGUGUUGUUAGUCCUCUCACAUGCUGGGGGAGAAUAUGCUUGAGAGGCUGGAGUAUAUCAUCUACCUGCAGGAAGCGGGAGUAUACACGGGGACAGCAGUCCUCAGUGUUGAUACUCCAUAGCAUCAUGGGUGUGUGUGUAUGUGCAGUGAAAGAGAUUCCUCCACGUAGCCCUGGUCAUAUUGGCCUCUUCUACUAGCAGCCCCAAA
This 860-nucleotide long non-coding RNA is filed under the name Apteryx rowi (Okarito brown kiwi). RNAcentral describes it as "lncRNA (ENSARWG00000013365.1)". Lineage: Eukaryota; Metazoa; Chordata; Aves; Apterygiformes; Apterygidae. The record is from RNAcentral.